UACGAGGGGUGCAAGCGUUAUUCGGAAUGAUUGGGCGUAAAGGGUGCGUAGGCGGCAGAUUAAGUCUAUCGUUAAAUUUUCCGGCUUAACCGGAAGCAUGCGGUGGAAACUAGUUUGCUAGAGGGUGGAAGAGAGAAGUGGAAUUCUCGGAGUAGCGGUAAAAUGCUUAGAUCUCGAGAGGAACACCAAUGGCGAAGGCAGCUUCUUGGUCCAUUCCUGACGCUGAGGCACGAAAGCGUGGGGAGCAAACAGG
Molecule: ribosomal RNA, 253 nt
Filed under: uncultured bacterium
Lineage: Bacteria
Description: partial 16S ribosomal RNA
Rfam family: Bacterial small subunit ribosomal RNA
Source: RNAcentral